AACGAACGCUGGCGGCAGGCCUAACACAUGCAAGUCGAACGCCGUAGCAAUACGGAGUGGCAGACGGGUGAGUAACGCGUGGGAACAUACCCCUCGGUUCGGAAUAACUCAGGGAAACUUGAGCUAAUACCGGAUACGUCCGAGGUUUUAAUCGGCUUGGAGAAGGAUUUAUCGCCGGAGGAUUGGGCCCGCGUCUGAUUAGCUUGUUGGUGAGGUAAUGGCUCACCAAGGCGACGANCGAGUAGCUGGUCUGAGAGGAUGAUCA
This 265-nucleotide ribosomal RNA is filed under the name uncultured bacterium. Its description in RNAcentral is "partial 16S ribosomal RNA". It matches the Rfam family "Bacterial small subunit ribosomal RNA", at positions 29 to 306 of the family's 1533-position model. The record is from RNAcentral.